CAACCGCUGGCGAGGUCCGUGAAUGUUG
Molecule: non-coding RNA, 28 nt
Submitted as: unclassified sequences
Source: Rfam